Molecule: long non-coding RNA, 340 nt
Organism: Pseudophryne corroboree (corroboree frog)
Lineage: Eukaryota; Metazoa; Chordata; Amphibia; Anura; Myobatrachidae
Exons: 3
Source: RefSeq, a predicted model, not a curated record
CUACCUUAAAUGAAAUGUGCAUUGGAUUCCUGUUCUACUAUCCGGACAUCCCAAUUGCUGCCUGCUGGAGUUACCAGGAUAUUCAUCAUGUGACGGACGCCCUGGGGCUGGAAAGGGCAGACAGCAUAAUGGAUGCUAUCCUGAACAUUGAUAAUGUGGAGUGGGACGAUGAGAACAGAGAGAUUGCCCAGAGAGCAGUCAUUGAAGGGAAUUUUCUUGUGAUGGUUCAAAACCGAGCGGGGAAAAGAGUGAAUGAGACAUGUCCUACACCACCGAUCUCUCUCCCCAUUCCUUACCCUUGUGAUGAAGACACCCCCUGAAUAAAAUGCAUGAACACUAA